RNAcentral lists this ribosomal RNA (328 nucleotides) under Carapoia sp. Br16-67. RNAcentral describes it as "partial 12S ribosomal RNA". Lineage: Eukaryota; Metazoa; Arthropoda; Arachnida; Araneae; Pholcidae. The record is from RNAcentral.
UUUUAUAAAUUAAAGGUAGUAAUAAUAAAUAUAAACCAUUAAAACUUGGCAGUUAUAAUUUUUUAAAGAAACUUGUUUUAUAAUCGACAAUACUCGUUAAUUUUAACUUAUAUAAUAAUAAUUUAUAUACCGUCGUUAAAGAAAUAAAAAUAAAUAAAUUUCAUAAUAAUAACAUUUUCAAACCUCAGAUCAAGGUGUAAUACAAAUAUAAGUAAAAAUAAGUUACAUAUAAAUAUAAUUUAAGAAAUUUUAAUAAAAAUAAAAAAGAAAAAGAAUUUAAAAAUAAUUUUAAAUUAAAAAUUUUAAAAGAAAUUAUCAAUUAUAAUGC